UACGGAGGGGGCAAGCGUUACUCGGAAUUAUUGGGCGUAAAGGGCGCGUGGGCGGUCGUGUGCGUCGAGGGUGAAAUCCCCGGGCUUAACCCGGGAGCUGCCUUCGAUACGGCACGGCGUGAGUCCGGGAGAGGGAUGUGGAAUUCCAGGUGUAGCGGUGAAAUGCGUAGAUAUCUGGAGGAACACCGGUGGCGAAGGCGACAUCCUGGACCGGUAUUGACGCUGAGGCGCGAAAGCCAGGGGAGCAAACGGG
Molecule: ribosomal RNA, 253 nt
Filed under: uncultured bacterium
Lineage: Bacteria
Description: partial 16S ribosomal RNA
Rfam family: Bacterial small subunit ribosomal RNA
Source: RNAcentral